Oryzias melastigma (Indian medaka) is the source of this 573-nucleotide long non-coding RNA. RefSeq lists it as uncharacterized. The transcript is spliced from 3 exons. The record is from RefSeq and is a predicted model, not a curated record. NCBI's taxonomy places the organism in Eukaryota, Metazoa, Chordata, Actinopteri, Beloniformes, Adrianichthyidae.
GAGGGAGCCCCUCCCUCUAAAAGCACUCUGUGUGGGGAAGAUGAGAGCCAGAGCAAAGCUCAGAGGAACCAACCUGGACCUGGAUCUGGAUCUGGAUCUGGAUCUGGAUCCAGCUGUGUGUCCUUCAGAAGUGAUGAAUCAAAGGAUUUACCUCCUCUCUUCAAGUCCAUCAGUUCACGAGUGGAACAGUUCCAACAGAGAUCUGGAUCCAGCUUUGUGUCCAAAAGGAGUGAUCACUCAAAGAAAAUUCUACCUCCUCACUUCAAGUCAAUCAGUUCACGAGUAAAACAGUAAGUGUUUGUAAAAAACAUGCUAUAAAUUGAACAGAAAUAAAUGUAUGCAGUGUCACAGUUGUCAGAACAGUUUUAACUGAUCAGUUUGUUCAUGAUCUGAGUUCAAUAGUUUAGACAUGAAAAAUAAUCUGACGAACCUCCAUAACAAAAUAAAUUAGAUUAAAAAAAAAAACAAAUGUUUUUCUACUGAGAAUCCAACUGAGAUCUGGAUCUGGAUCCAGCUGUGUGUCCAACAGGAGUGACAGAUCAAAGGGUCUUAAUCCAGACUUCAAGUCCAUCA